UACGGAGGGUGCAAGCGUUGUUCGGAAUUAUUGGGCGUAAAGGGCAGGUAGGUGGUCUUGCAAGUCUGCUGUGAAAUCCCCGGGCUCAACCUGGGAAUGGCGAUGGAUACUGGCUCGCUAGAGUGCGGUAGAGGAGAGUGGAAUUCCCGGUGUAGCAGUGAAAUGCGUAGAGAUCGGGAGGAACAUCAGUUGCGAAGGCGGCUCUCUGGACCAGCACUGACACUGAGGCACGAAAGCGUGGGGAGCAAACAGG
This 253-nucleotide ribosomal RNA is filed under the name uncultured bacterium. RNAcentral describes it as "partial 16S ribosomal RNA". It matches the Rfam family "Bacterial small subunit ribosomal RNA", at positions 524 to 776 of the family's 1533-position model. The record is from RNAcentral.